UGGGGCUGAGCAAUUUGGGAAGCGCUGAAGUUUUCUGCUCCUGUCCUGUACUGGUUUUCACUAAGCCAACUGUGAGAUUUCUUUGUUGCAAUGUUGGGGUCUGAGAUAACACUGCUGGAGGCUGGAGGCAAGAAACAUAGCCGAAACCAUCUUUUAGUGUGUGCUGUUAUUUACUAGUGCUGUGAACCAAGGAAGGGAAAUAACAAAGAGCCCGAAGACUGCACAGUUCCAGCCUGUAGGCCCUGGAGACAGUCCGGAGUCCUCAGACGGACAGAAAGAAGACAUCAUGAAGGGCAACCUGGGGUGCCUGUGGCUGCUGAGUACAGGUGUGGGUGACUGAUUUUAAGAAAUUAGCAACACAGAAGCUGAUUUUAAAAUAUUCAUAAGAAGCUGGCUUUUACAGUUGUUCGGAUGUUCCUUUCAGCUGGUCCUAUAGCCCCCUUUCUCAGUAAUGUCUCCCCAGUGAAAGGAAAAAGACUGCAGAGGCUUCAGACUGACGGACGCUCAUGCCAACUGUGAAGUUGAAACAAAGCAAGUGACCAGCUGAAGAGGCCCCUCCUGCCCAGCAGCCACCCACAUGCAGUUGCAGCCAGUAGUAAUCUUUGCAAGAAGCAGAGAAACCCAGAACACGUAUGAGUCAAAACCAUCCCCUUCCUUGUGUGUGUAUCCCUGUCUCGUUC
RNAcentral lists this long non-coding RNA (680 nucleotides) under Mus caroli (Ryukyu mouse). RNAcentral describes it as "lncRNA (MGP_CAROLIEiJ_G0013856.1)". The record is from RNAcentral. Lineage: Eukaryota; Metazoa; Chordata; Mammalia; Rodentia; Muridae.